AGGUCUUGAAAACCCACCCUAUAAUGAUAGAUAAACCUGAAUAUUACUUUUAAAUUUAGAAAUAUUCCAUCUUAAAAAUAAAAUGAAGAAGAAGCAGCUUACAGUGACCAAGCCAAUUUGAAAAUUUUUAUUAACUAUAUUUUAUAACUGCUUAAAUGUUUAAAUCUUGUAUAGAAAAUGGAACAAAACAGGCUGAAGAGAAGAUAAAUAUUCGAAUCAGCAAGCUUCAGAUGGAGAUUAAUGAAGAAAUUUUUUAGAAUUAGAGACAAAACCAAGAAGAGGAAACCUUUGCAACCCUUCCUCUCAGAAGAAUGUAUUUUUUGGUGAUCCUGGCUUUUCUAGGACGAAUUACUGAUAAGGAGACAUUUGAGACCAUUCCUGCAAAAUCACACGAUAAUCAUUUAGUACAAGAAGAAAGUAACAUCUCUCUCUCUUGUGAAUUUCAAAUGAAGCGCUCAGGACAACCAUUUAUUAUAUAUUGGAUCAAAUAUAAAGAAACAAGCAAAUGCCUGUCUUCUGUUGAGAGAGAGCCAUAUACUUUCUCGUAUAAUACACAUUGCUGUAUUGAUGAGAUGAUCGAAGGACGACUAUUGAACUAUACAAGCUUAGAUUCAAACAAGACACACGUAGUCCAUAAUAUGACCAUCUUGAAUGUUACUUACUCCGACAGUGGAACUUAUUUAUGUGUUGUAAAUGCCUGGUCAAGAGAUAAACAUGUGUGGAAGAUUGCAAAUAACCUUUCUAUAGAAGUGAGGAAGCAAGCCAUUCCAUCCUCUGCUUCCAUGCCAUUGUAUGCCACCACUGGAUUGAUCGUAGGGAUUAUUAUCAUCAGUGGGAUAGCAUGGUUGAUCUAUAACAAGAAAACCAAAUCAAAAGGAAAGCCAUCUGCACAACUUCCCAGAGCUCAGGAUGCUCUUGAAAUUCCAGGAGAUGAAUGUUCCCCGUACGCAGUGAGAAGCAGCGAAGACUUGCAAAGAAAUGAAGUGUUGUGUUCACUUGGAACAAGCCCAUAUGAGGACCCAAAUGCAGCCUAUUGUACAGUGGAUAACACUGCAGCAACUGGCAAGGGGCCAGGAGAUGAAAUACAGACAGUCUAUGAAGUGGUGCCACAAUAGCUGUUCCUAGGAGCUGGAGAAUGGACGUCGGUUUGAAAAUAACUAUGUACUUUUGGCUGAUUUUAGGGGAAAAAACUCAGCAUAGUAGCCUUGACUACCCAAUUUUGACUAUUCAAUGAGCUAUCUUAGAAAAUAUUAUGGGGCAGAUCCUCUACUGAUAUAAAUUCUCAUAGCUCCAUUAUGAAGCUAUGACC
RNAcentral lists this long non-coding RNA (1309 nucleotides) under Chrysemys picta bellii (western painted turtle). RNAcentral describes it as "lncRNA (ENSCPBG00000010736.1)". The record is from RNAcentral. Lineage: Eukaryota; Metazoa; Chordata; Testudines; Emydidae.